GGCGAAGCCUGAUCCAGCCACGCCGCGUGUGUGAAGAAGGCCUGCGGGUUGUAAAGCACUUUUAGUGGGGAUGAAAAGGUCAGGGCUAAUACCCCUGGCUCUUGACCUAACCCACAGAAAAAGCACCGGCUAACUCUGUGCCAGCAGCCGCGGUAAUACAA
Molecule: ribosomal RNA, 161 nt
Filed under: uncultured bacterium
Lineage: Bacteria
Description: partial 16S ribosomal RNA
Rfam family: Bacterial small subunit ribosomal RNA
Source: RNAcentral